This 492-nucleotide ribosomal RNA is filed under the name uncultured bacterium. RNAcentral describes it as "partial 16S ribosomal RNA". It matches the Rfam family "Bacterial small subunit ribosomal RNA", at positions 29 to 507 of the family's 1533-position model. The record is from RNAcentral.
AGUGAACGCUGGCGGUAGGCCUAACACAUGCAAGUCGAACGGCAGCACAGUAAGAGCUUGCUCUUACGGGUGGCGAGUGGCGGACGGGUGAGGAAUACAUCGGAAUCUACUUUUUCGGGGGGGAUAACGUAGGGAAACUUACGCUAAUACCGCAUACGACCUACGGGUGAAAGCAGGGGAUCUUCGGACCUUGCGCGAUUGAAUGAGCCGAUGUCGGAUUAGCUAGUUGGCGGGGUAAAGGCCCACCCAGGCGACGAUCCGUAGCUGGUCUGAGAGGAUGAUCAGCCACACUGGAACUGAGACACGGUCCAGACUCCUACGGGAGGCAGCAGUGGGGAAUAUUGGACAAUGGGCGCAAGCCUGAUCCAGCCAUACCGCGUGGGUGAAGAAGGCCUUCGGGUUGUAAAGCCCUUUUGUUGGGAAAGAAAAGCAGCAGGUUAAUACCCCGCUGUUCUGACGGUACCCAAAGAAUAAGCACCGGCUAACUUCGUG